This is a long non-coding RNA of Cannabis sativa, 994 nucleotides long. RefSeq lists it as uncharacterized. The record is from RefSeq and is a predicted model, not a curated record. NCBI's taxonomy places the organism in Eukaryota, Viridiplantae, Streptophyta, Magnoliopsida, Rosales, Cannabaceae. The transcript is spliced from 2 exons.
CAUGCGUGUAGAUUUUGUGUCCAAUUAAUUCAACUAUAUAUAUCUAUUAAUUACACUAAAAUUAAUUUCUAAUUAAGUUUCUCACACGUACGUAUGUAGCACAACACAUAAAUUAAUAAAGCAUUUUCAUGCAACACCUCAUCACUUGAUGAACCGCCGUUGUACGUUGAAAAUAUGUACACAAUGAGAAAUUGUAGAACUUUCUAUAACUCUUCAACAAAAUAGAUUCAUGAGAUUUGGUAUAUAUGUUUAAAGCCAUAUUGUAUACUUUUAUUAUUAGCCCUAUUAUAUAUAUUAAUUAACUAAACUUAUCCGAUUUUGCUGCCAUUUUUAUUGACUUUUAAUACCAAAAUAAAAAAAUGAAAAAAUUAAAUUAUACAUUUUAAAGAUCGUUUAGUGUGCUAUAAAUAUUGGAGAAGAUGCAAGGUGCAAUGCCAUCAUUAUUAUCUUAUCAAAUAUAUCAUUAAUAGCUAGCCAAAAAUUAAUGGAGUCUUCUUCUUCUUCUUCCAGGACUAAAUGGUUUCCUUCUCCACAAGAGGUUCUAGCUGUUGAAAAUGGAAAACGCAUUAAUAAUAAUAAUAGCCAAGAAGAGGAAAAACAAGAAGAAGCUACAACGAUUCAACCGCACUCUCCUCAGGCAUGCUUUGGUCGAAAGAAAAAACGCCCAAACAAACCAAACCCAUAGAUGAUCAAUGCAUGAAUGUAUAAUUGAGAUGGAUGGAUGGUAUAUGAUAUAUAUGGAUCUGCUUCCUCUUAAAUAAUUUCUUCCUAUACUAUAAUAAAUAGACCUGUAUUAUUAUUAUUAUUAUUAUUAUUAUUAUUAUUAUUUUUGUGAUAACAUUAUUACUUUCUGUACUGUUUGAAGAUCUACUGUACAUUUUAUAUAUAUGUUAUGUAAAAUAGGCUAAAUAAUGAUGUACUUUUGAAAGUUAUUAUAGGAUAUAUGUAUGGAAUCAAAUCAUUAAUAUAUAUUAUUGCAAACUUUUGAUGAGAA